GAGUCGACUGAUGGGAUCAACAUCCCCGACGGCAAGUUCUACCUUGAAGAUGUUGGCUAUGCAUGUCGGCCGGGUAUUCUUCCAUCCUUCAGAAAAACCGGGUACCAUCUCAAAAAGUUCUCUGGUAGGAACUAUCCUAGGACUGCACAGGAGCUGUAUAAUCUCACACACUCCAGCUUUAGAGUAACUGUUGAGAGGGCAUUUGGAGCUCUGAAGAAUAGGUUUAAGAUCCUGGAUCAGAAGCCAUUCCACCCAUACUCCACUCAAGUUAAGCUUGUUCUUGCUUGUUGCAUUCUGCAUAACUGGAUCCUCUAG
Molecule: ribosomal RNA, 315 nt
Filed under: Triticum aestivum (bread wheat)
Lineage: Eukaryota; Viridiplantae; Streptophyta; Magnoliopsida; Poales; Poaceae
Description: partial small subunit ribosomal RNA
Source: RNAcentral